GUGUAGAUGAUCCGUUAAUUCUCAUUUGAACAUGAAUAAAAUAUCCAUCAAAGGAACUGGGAUUGCUUUUGCUUAUGACGUCAGAUGAAAAGGCCACCUUCAGUGGCGCUUUUCUUGUAUGGCGUAAGUGAGAACACGAUUUUGUUUGUAAGCAAUUUAAAUCGUCCUAAUGUCUUAUCAAGUCUGUGUGUGUGUGUUUUAUUUUGAGUUGCUGUGUUUAAAGACGCCCAGCAUAUUCCCGCCAGCGUUAAAUCUGUGGAAUUUUGGUAUUAUCCACUGAAUCUCGAGAGAGCUUACCUAUCCACAACCCUACCCAGGCAGAACAACAUCCAUGUGUCAUUAACAUUAAGGAAUUCUCACCAGUGACCAGAGGAGGAGGAAAGCUUAUGCUUGAUGGCUACUCCUACAUUGAUAAAUUGAAAAGCACUGUAAUAUAUUGGUUACAUUGGUGAUGUGAAAGAAACAUAAUUUGUGAGGAAUGCUUAACAAUAGAGGGAGACUUACUACAGAGAGAAGCAAGUCAUCACUCACAUCUGCCUAAUGCCAAAAGCAACCUUUCCAAGGAAACAGUACAGAAAACUAAAGAAAGCCAGGCAGUAGUGGGAAGUGACAUCGACUUAAACAGAAGAGUCCUUAUCAGAUAUUAAACCAAAGACUAAAUUAUGGUAGAGAAGUAUGAGGGUUACCUCUGAGUCAGUGGCUUGAGCCCACAAUCUUUGAAUAUUUUUGAACACUUAAUUAUAUAUUUCACACCUUGUAUAAAGUUAAGUUGAAAUGAAUGCAAUACCUUUUAUAUUGUAGUUACGUGCAAUAAAGAUUGGUCGCAUAGA
This is a long non-coding RNA of Macrobrachium nipponense, 830 nucleotides long. RefSeq lists it as uncharacterized. NCBI's taxonomy places the organism in Eukaryota, Metazoa, Arthropoda, Malacostraca, Decapoda, Palaemonidae. The record is from RefSeq and is a predicted model, not a curated record. The transcript is spliced from 2 exons.